CCUUAUCCUUUGUUGCCAGCGAUUAGGUCGGGAACUCAAAGGAGACUGCCAGUGAUAAACUGGAGGAAGGUGGGGAUGACGUCAAGUCAUCAUGGCCCUUACGACCAGGGCUACACACGUGCUACAAUGGCGCAUACAAAGAGAAGCGACCUCGCGAGAGCAAGCGGACCUCAUAAAGUGCGUCGUAGUCCGGAUUGGAGUCUGCAACUCGACUCCAUGAAGUCGGAAUCGCUAGUAAUCGUGGAUCAGAAUGCCACGGUGAAUACGUUCCCGGGCCUUGUACACACCGCCCGUCACACCAUGGGAGUGGGUUGCAAAAGAAGUAGGUAGCUUAACCUUCGGGAGGGCGCUUACCACUUUGUGAUUCAUGACUGGGGUGAAGUCGUAACAAGGUAACCGUAGGGGAACCUGC
RNAcentral lists this ribosomal RNA (412 nucleotides) under Salmonella enterica subsp. enterica. RNAcentral describes it as "bacterial SSU rRNA". It matches the Rfam family "Bacterial small subunit ribosomal RNA", at positions 1103 to 1515 of the family's 1533-position model. The record is from RNAcentral. Lineage: Bacteria; Pseudomonadati; Pseudomonadota; Gammaproteobacteria; Enterobacterales; Enterobacteriaceae. RNAcentral also lists the same sequence under 2 other names.